RNAcentral lists this ribosomal RNA (246 nucleotides) under uncultured bacterium. Its description in RNAcentral is "partial 16S ribosomal RNA". It matches the Rfam family "Bacterial small subunit ribosomal RNA", at positions 106 to 334 of the family's 1533-position model. The record is from RNAcentral.
GGUGGAACGGACCAAACCCGUUCGGCCGGUUGGUGGAGGGGGAGUAGCCGGGCUAACGCCCGGGUAAUACCGCAUACGCUCGUUUGGGGGAGUCCCUGAGCGAGGAAACUUGUGGGGCAACCCACGGGGCACAGCGAGGGGCUCGCGGCCUAUCAGCUUGUUGGCGGGGUCAUGGCCCACCAAGGCGACGACGGGUAGCUGGUCUGAGAGGAUGGCCAGCCACAUUGGGACUGAGAGACGGCCCAG